This 672-nucleotide ribosomal RNA is filed under the name Triticum aestivum (bread wheat). RNAcentral describes it as "partial small subunit ribosomal RNA". Lineage: Eukaryota; Viridiplantae; Streptophyta; Magnoliopsida; Poales; Poaceae. The record is from RNAcentral.
AUGGAAGAUCCGCCAAAUUUUUAUGUCACUGGAUAUUCACCUGAUCCUAGCAGCAUGGAGCCGUCGCCGCAACCUCCGAGCAGUUUCGUUUUCUCUGGAUCAUCAAUAUUGCCGAAAGCUGGCCAUACAAGUAAAUGUGUUGGGCCACAAGUGCCACCACGUAUUGAGCGUAUUGUGCGUGAGGUUUCAGGCAUGCAGAGUAGCCGAACAAAAAUUCCUGAGAUUGGGGCUUUACAUCCACCAUAUGUGGAUGUGGAUUCUGCGCAUGCUGAUACAAGUACGCUCAACAUGCAUAAAGUACCUGCGGCUUGCCACACAGCUGGAAACACCACAAAUCGCCGCCCUAAAAUUGUUCCUGGAGUAGCAGGUUUGCAUCCUCCGAGUCGUAAGCAGCCAGGUGUGGGUGAUCAUACGCUGCCUCCACGUCCACCUUCAUCGACUUCAAAGCAACAACUAGUGCGCAACAAUACGUCAAAGAAAUUGCCGGUGCACCCGAAACGUGACCCGCUGCUGCACAAAUCAGUGGUUACGCCUCCUUGUCCGAUACAACCUGACGACUGCAUAAGUCCAGAGGAGAAUCGAAAGUAUAUCCAUGUGAGUAUAAUAAACAGAUGUUAUUACUACAUUUUCAUAGUCAAACUACCUCUUGUUUACAAAGCAGUACAAAUGUAG